This 487-nucleotide ribosomal RNA is filed under the name uncultured bacterium. RNAcentral's name for it is "partial 16S ribosomal RNA". It matches the Rfam family "Bacterial small subunit ribosomal RNA", at positions 28 to 507 of the family's 1533-position model. The record is from RNAcentral.
GACGAACGCUGGCGGCGUGCUUAACACAUGCAAGUCGAACGGAAAGGCUCCAGCUUGCUGGAGUACUCGAGUGGCGAACGGGUGAGUAACACGUGGGUAAUCUGCCCUGCACUCUGGGAUAAGCCUGGGAAACUGGGUCUAAUACUGGAUAUGACCUUUCUCCUUAUGGGGUUUGGUGGAAAGUUUUUCUGUGUCGGAUGAGCCCGCGGCCUAUCAGCUUGUUGGUGGGGUGAUGGCCUACCAAGGCGACGGUGGGUAGCCGGCCUGAGAGGGUGAUCGGCCACACUGGGACUGAGAGACGGACAAGACUCCGACGGGAGGCAGCAGUGGGGAAUGUGGGACAAGGGGCGCAAGCGUGAUCCAUGAAGGCCGCGUGCAGGAAGAAGGCGUUCGGGUUGUAAAAUGCGGGUGUACGGAACGAAACGGCUCUGGUGAAGACCCGGGGCUAAUGACGGUACAGGAAGAAUAAGCAACGGCUAACUACGUG